Molecule: ribosomal RNA, 253 nt
Filed under: uncultured bacterium
Lineage: Bacteria
Description: partial 16S ribosomal RNA
Rfam family: Bacterial small subunit ribosomal RNA
Source: RNAcentral
UACGUAGGGUGCGAGCGUUAAUCGGAAUUACUGGGCGUAAAGCGUGCGCAGGCGGUUCGCUGUGUCCUGUGUGAAAUCCCCGGGCUUAACCUGGGAAUGGCAUGGGAAACUGGCGAGCUUGAGUGCGGCAGAGGGGGGUGGAAUUCCGCGUGUAGCAGUGAAAUGCGUAGAGAUGCGGAGGAACACCGAUGGCGAAGGCAGCCCCCUGGGUCGACACUGACGCUCAGGCACGAAAGCGUGGGGAGCAAACAGG